RNAcentral lists this long non-coding RNA (1095 nucleotides) under Gadus morhua (Atlantic cod). RNAcentral describes it as "lncRNA (ENSGMOG00000024785.1)". Lineage: Eukaryota; Metazoa; Chordata; Actinopteri; Gadiformes; Gadidae. The record is from RNAcentral.
GCCUAGCUGAUUGUCGCAUACCACACCAACGGUCCUCGCGGUCGGUGAUGGAGAUACCGCAAUGUCCUCGACAGUGGCCGAUAAGUCCAUGUGAGGGCAGUGUUUCCCUGGCACAAGAAGGAGCUGAGUCAUGUCGAGGUUGAGCUCCAGGUGAUCGGCCCUCGCCCAAGUGCUGAUGUCUGUCUGCCAGACAUUCUGAGACGCGUGUCGCAAUCGGGUUGCUUUCAGGGGAGGGGAAUAGUUUAGUGUCGUCAGCCCGGCAAUCUGCUCACCACUCUCCAAAGAUGACCCAAUCAUAUCUAGUUUUGAAUCGUACCAAUUUUUAUAAAAUCCUCAUUUAGUGUAUGGUGCGGGUUGAGAAUGUACAUCAAUUUAUUAACUCUUAAUGAUUGAAAGCAUGACUUCGUAGCCGUUUAUAGAAGCCGUCUCACAAAUGUAAUUCACCAAAAAAGGGGAAUUAGUGGUUUCUUAUAAGGGAAGUGUGGCUUCGUUGGCAUUGUUUACUUCCCAUUUCAGGAAGACCUGUCCGGUCAGGGAGAGCUGUCCACCAGCAAUGACAGUCUCUCUGAACAGAAACAACCCAAGGAGAAAGGAGGUGCUUUCAGUGGAAUGUUCAAGAGAUCGAUUAAACAUGACGAACAGUCCCUGAAUGAGCUGGCGUCAAGCAAUGAAGGUCUAUCGGAAAAUAGCAUGGUAAAACGUUUCUUUCAAGGUGUCGUAAAACACAAAAGGUGCAUUAUUUCCUGCGUUGUGGUGCAGGGUAACCCAUCCGUGGUGCUCGCUGCGAUAAUGUCUGUAUAUUUGAAGCUUUAAUGGGCAACAUCCUCCACUUCCUGUUUCAGGGGAAUCUCGCUAGGCAGAAGGAACUUUCAGAGAGCAACGACAGCCUGUCUGACACCAAAAAGACAAAGGUGGGUUAUGUCAUUUCGGGAAUAUCCUUGGAUGACAACUAACUCGUGACUUGUGGAGCGACGUUAAACUGGUUUGAGUUUCUGUCAGCUGCUGUUUGAGCCUCUGCCUGGAAUCAUGGAGGAAUCUUGUUCAGAACAAGAUUCCUCCAUGAUUCAGAACUUGGCCUGGUUCUGUCAGCAGUGU